GUCUACGGCUGUGCCACCCUGAACAAGCUUGAUUUCAUCUGAUCUCGGAAGCUAAGCAAAGUUGGGCCUGGUUAGUACUUGGAUAGGAGGCCAUCUAGGAAGACCAGGUGCUGUAGAUG
This is a ribosomal RNA of Pteropus vampyrus (large flying fox), 119 nucleotides long. The record is from Ensembl. Lineage: Eukaryota; Metazoa; Chordata; Mammalia; Chiroptera; Pteropodidae.